RNAcentral lists this ribosomal RNA (370 nucleotides) under uncultured bacterium. Its description in RNAcentral is "bacterial SSU rRNA". It matches the Rfam family "Bacterial small subunit ribosomal RNA", at positions 796 to 1165 of the family's 1533-position model. The record is from RNAcentral.
CACGCGGUAAACGAUGAAUACUAGGUGUAGGGGGUAUCAACUCCCCCUGUGCCGGAGCUAACGCAAUAAGUAUUCCGCCUGGGGAGUACGGCCGCAAGGUUGAAACUCAAAGGAAUUGACGGGGGCCCGCACAAGCAGCGGAGCAUGUGGUUUAAUUCGAAGCAACGCGAAGAACCUUACCAAGGCUUGACAUCCACUUAAACGCAUGGAAACAUGCGGUCUCUUCGGAGGAAGUGAGACAGGUGGUGCAUGGUUGUCGUCAGCUCGUGUCGUGAGAUGUUGGGUUAAGUCCCGCAACGAGCGCAACCCUUAUUGCCAGUUACCAGCGAGUAAUGUCGGGGACUCUGGUGAGACUGCCGGGGACAACUCG